AGAGACGUUGCCCUUCGGGUAUACCUCCCUAACCCUUGUUGAUACCUACCUUAAGUUGCUUCGGCGGCCGUCCUCGGACCACCGGCUCUGCUGUCAGUGCCCGCCAGAGGACACUAAACUCUGUUUUUUAGACUGGCCUCUGAGUACUAUAGUAAUAAGUUA
RNAcentral lists this unclassified non-coding RNA (162 nucleotides) under soil metagenome. RNAcentral describes it as "partial internal transcribed spacer 1". The record is from RNAcentral.